CAGGGACUAGGUUAAAGUGUAAACUUUAAAUUUUCAAAAUUUAGGAUGGGUAAGUAACCCGUUCCUGU
Molecule: transfer RNA, 68 nt
Filed under: Catillopecten margaritatus
Lineage: Eukaryota; Metazoa; Mollusca; Bivalvia; Pectinida; Propeamussiidae
Description: Catillopecten sp. m YTL-2023 tRNA-Trp
Source: RNAcentral